Peromyscus californicus insignis is the source of this 8188-nucleotide long non-coding RNA. RefSeq lists it as uncharacterized. NCBI's taxonomy places the organism in Eukaryota, Metazoa, Chordata, Mammalia, Rodentia, Cricetidae. The record is from RefSeq and is a predicted model, not a curated record. The transcript is spliced from 2 exons.
UUCCUUGGGCUUCCCUACAACCAGGCACACCCAGGGAUGUUAGUUUCUUGCUUCCUGUUUGGAUUGCUAAGGUCAGCCUUGGAGACUUUUGCUGCAAGAACUGCUUUUAAACCCUUGGAAUUUCACUUCAUGACCAGUUCCAGGGGCCUCAAGGCUGCAGCUCAGCCCAGGGGCCCUGCCUUAGCACCUCCUGUGGAUCCUGUGUCUUAGUCCUCUUGCUUUGGCUGCUGGGGGCAGUUCUAGAAGCCUUCUGACAGGAAGUGUCUUCCUUUUGGAAUUUGACAUUUGCUCUGCAGCAUGGCACUUCGGCUGUUAUAUCAUUAAACGUCUCCAAGGCAACAGUAGCUGGGGGCCUGACUGAUAACUUCUUCAUAUCAUGAACAGAAAUAGCGUAAGUCACAUGGUUCCCCCAACCAGUGACAACCAAACUUUAGCAUCCGUCAGAGUGGGUGAUCUGCUAAAACACAGAUUGCAAGGCCAGAGAAUGUGGGUUUCUAACUCCUUCCUCGGCGAUGGGACUGCCACUUACUCAGGAUCACGCUUUGAAAACCACUUCCAUACACAAGACAAUGAUCGUUCUUGAUAUCAGCCCAGCUUCUCCGAGGCAACUCAUGGAGGAGAAUUUGUGAAGAUAUGAGCAACAGCAGAUGCUCACAGGUAGCAAACCCGACAAAUGGACUGAGGGUAAGCGUUCACCCCGUGUGGCUCUGGGAAGGACUUCGGAGAGAUUCUACCACCUCUAAUCUUUCUCACGCCCUGUGUUCCACCCACCCGCAAACACUGUUUGCUCCCCUUGGGAAACUGGCUCACAAUCCACCUGACUCUCAUCAUCUCCACUGCACCAUCCUGGCCAAAGACACCAGCAUCUCCAGCCUGGAUUGUGGCUGUGGUCUCUUAGCACAUCUCUUAACUUCAUUUAGCGCCUCUAGAUUUUCUCCAGAAGUUUCUAGAUGAGCCACCUGUGUGUGAGCUCAGCCAGAAGCCAUCACCUCCCAUCAGGUGGGUCUCAACAAGUCUGAGACCACUAGGUCUCAACAAGUCUGGCUCUCUAAGACCCGUCUGCUGUCAGCCCCCACUGCCCCAGCUUGCCAUUGCCACCACCACCCCCAUUGCUGUGUUUCCACUAGCCUGCUGCUUCAUUUCACACACAAGAACAGUUCCCUUAAGGCCUCCACACCUGCUGUUACUCCCGCUUGGACUAUUUUCCCCCAGAUAUCCACAUGGCUCACUCCCCACUCACUUCAGGUCUGACCUCAGCUAUCCCGUGACAAAGGAGGCCUUCUUUACCACUGGAUCCAACAGAACCACACUGCCACACCUUCUUCCCAGGCAGUCCGUCCAGCUUGCUCCCGAAAUGUUUCUCUAGAACUUGCCGUCACCUGAGUCUCUUUCCUUCCUGACCUUCUCCUCACACUUUAAGGUCAAACCUAACGGGAUGCUUCCUCAUUAUCUGUUGUCUGAACCUUGUACUGAGAAGAGGAUAGAGUGGGACAUAACUGUCCCAGCUGCCUGUGUUCUUUCCGGCUAUGCAUAUUCCCAUAGGUCUCCAGAUUUCAACCGCCAUGGACAGCGGUGGAGGCAGAAGAGAUCCCACGGUCUGGGUAAGUCCCUCCAAAGGGAGGGGAAGGGACUGGAGAGGACAGGGUGACGCAGCUAUACCUGGGCUGAGGCAAGAGGCCGUCUAAGGCAAGUGGGAUCAGAUAACAGCAUCCCGAGCCUCUUCCCCUCCAUCCUUUUCCUGGAGGCUUCAUUUUACCCCACAUCGUACCUAUUGAACUGGGCUGGAAGUGAGUGGCAGCCCAUUAAGGCCUUAGCUCUCAGGUUACCACGCAGUGCCUGGAACAGACACAGAGCCUGGUCCGUGCGUGGUGCGUGCUGUCGCCGGACAAUGUCACUGCUGACCCCCUGUGCUGUGACACACGCUUCACCCUUCCUCCAAGCACAGCUCCCUUCCCCUGCUGUCACUGUCCCGUUUAUCCCCGCCCCUCACGCUUUUCUUGUAGCCCGUGGGAUCUCUACUGCUCUUGCAAGGAUCCGCGGUGAACUGUGACCUUUCUAACGGAAGUUGCGGUCACAACAGGAGAAGCAGCACCACGAGAACUCUGAGUGCCUGCCAUGACACAAGAUCCCAAGUGCCCUUAGAUGGCAAAAUCCACCCAAUGAAAGACAGACGGUGAACACGCUCUAGUGGCCACUGUCCCUCGGAAAGUGCUGUUCUAGCGUAAAACUGAGUUUUCCCUUGAAGACUUGAAAACUUUCGAGUGCCACAAAUGGUUCUCUUUGGACAGAAAUCCUGGGCAAUGGGCCCUCUGACAAAGAGUUCUGUGUCAAUACGGUUCAUCUCAAGUCUUCCUCAUAUCAUUCCGUCACCAGCAGGGACAGGGUCAGCACGACUCACCAACUCUCCAAAAUGCUGUAGUGCAAACAAACAAGAACUGAUACAGAAUUUUCUUUAGAGACUUCUAAGUAGAAGUAGAAAACAGGUGUUAGAGAAAUCAUUUCUUUCUUAUUUAUAACCCACGUGACCUCCUAGAGAGGUGCAGCCAUUUGGUAAGUCACCUUCCUUCUAGGGAAUGUGUCUCCACAGACCUUCCAUAGACAUAUGCGUGCUAGAGGACUAGCCUUUUUAUUCUUUUCAACCCCCGUUCUCUCGCAGGCUUAGCAUCAUGUGGAUGCCACCAAGGUUUGCUGCUGGUUCAUGGUUCUUGGAGGCCAGGAAAUUUAAAAGCAUGGUGCUGGCACUGCUUGGUCUGGUGAGGACCCUCUUGCUGUAUCAUUGCGUAGUGGAGGGCAAGAUGGCAGGGAUACCAGAGGAUGCCUCUCCUCCUCUUUUUAUCAAGCCACAAUUCCAUCAUAGGAGACCAGAACUCCACAAAGAAAGCUUUCAUGGGGUGGGCUGGUGCCUGGGGUCCACCUAAGGUCUUUCUCUGGCAAAACCAUUCAUGAGGCCCAGAUGAAGUAGGUCCAGAUGACGUAAUGGCCACUGCUCAAGGGCAGAGACAGAAAACCUUGGUAAUGUUCACUUGGUAUUAAUGCUGCAUACAUUCAGAAGAUGAGCCAUGUAGCCAAAGGCUCCAUCAAGCAGGGAGGGCCCCAGUAAACAUUUGUGGCAGAAGCAGAGCCACCACGGAGUUCCUGAACAAGGGGAUGCAGAGCAGAGAGGUGAGGUUGCAGUGGCUGCAGAGUCCCCAACCAUGGAAAUGCUUCUUGGAGCCACGGUGGGUAAGAUGGAUCCCAAGACUCUCGGCUAGGUUGUAAGAAAUAUAUUUCUGGGGCUCAGCAGUUAAGAACACUUGCAGCUAUUGAAGAAGACCAGGGUUCGGUUCCCAGCACCCACAUGUCCAUAACUCCAGUUCCAGGAAAUCCAGCCUCUGUGGGCACCAGGCCUGCAGAAAGGACUCAUUAUAGAUGCAGGCAAACACUCACACACAUGAACUAACUAAAUUUCUUUGAAAAAAAUGAAUUUAUUUUCUUUGUAAAUUACCCAAUCUUGGGUAUUCAGCGACAACAAUAGAAAACAGUCUAAUAUAUACACACACAAUGGGAUUAUCUCUACUGUAUGACUUGUUUGAUUUCACAGGCCUGUGGCUGGAGGGUAAUUUGCUUUAGGAUUAGUCUUGCUUAGAGUCUCAUUCAGAAGCGAUUCAGAUAAGACUCUGGACUUUGGACUUUUGAGUUGGUGCCAGAUGAAUUAUGAUUUGUGGGCUAUUGGGAUGGAAUAAGAUUUUAUAUGUGAGAAGGACAGGAAUUUUGGAGACCAAAGGGAAAAUGGUAUAGUCUGAAUGUAUCCCUCAAAAUGUAUGUUUUAGAAAUUAAUCCCAAAAGCAACAAUAUAGGGAAGUGGGCCCUUUGUGAGGCUCCACCCUCAUGAAUGGAUUGAUUGCAGUUAUUAAAAGGGUUUUCAGAGGAAACUAUGUCACUUUUCACCUUUUUUGUCCCUUCUACUAUGUGAGGACAUGGCACUCCUUCCCCAGAGGACAUGGAAAAAAAAAAAAAAAAAAAAAAUGCCACCUUGGAAGCAGACAGCAGUCCUCAUCAGAAGAUGCAACCUGUUGAUGUUUUGAUCUUAGAUUUUUCUAAUCUUACAGCACUAUGGGAAAUACAAUUUCAAUGUUUAUAAAAUUUCCAAACUUGGACAUUUUGUUAUAGUAGUACAAAUAGAUUAAGACUUUCUGUACCUCAUUCCUAAAGAGACACUCAGUUCUGGGUCACGUUAAGUGACUGUCACAAGUCAGAAAGCUGAGACCAGACAACACCAUGCCAGAGAACAUAGACAUUGGUGUGUCGAGGGAAAGGGACACAGCUUGUGAGACAGGGGCUCUGGUUAUAAUUCUUGCCACUGCUGUUAGAUUCCAUCACCUCUAAGGCGCAUGGGUACACAAAAUACAAUCACUCUUGUAUCACUAAGAAACAUCCUUGCUGUCUAUUAAACGAUAUGACCGCCUAAGGCCAGUCCUGCAGGAUAUAAGAAUCAAUCCCACUGGCUUCCCAUUUCUUGAUUAUUUUCAUCUACCCCAGUGGGUUAGGUAAUUUCUCCUGCCUUCAGGUUGGAUACUUGACAUUUAAUAGAUAAUCCUCAAUAGCGAAAAUCUAGCCAUAUGUGCUUGGGGAUUGCCUUUCUUAAAAGCUUGUACUUUGCAAAACAGACUAGAAAGCAAAGCUGAUAUUGCAUCAUUCCUUCACUGACAAAUAUUUACUUCAUCAAUAUCAAAUUUAUGCCCCCUGUUCUAUUUCCUUGACUCUCUGUAUAAACAAUGACUUUUAGUUUGAAUGUCAAACUAUAGGAGAACAUUUUGAAAUUAACUCAUCAGCAAUUAAUCAGCAGUGCAUCCCCUUGAAAGAAAAUUUGAAAACAAAAAAGCUAAAACUACCUACACAUUCGCAGACAAUGACAAAUCCAUUUCAGCUACUGCCUGGCUAGUAGCCAUGUAUCAGAUGCUGCCAGCCAGCACCGUGGUCACAGAUUCAUGCUGGUGAUCAGUCCCCAAGACAGAGCGAGCUUCGCCACUGUCCUUACUUAGCUUUCUGGACAGGGUCAUGUCCAGAAAUGCAGUGUUCACAUUAUCUGUGGUCUUAUAGGAAGGCUCUCGGACUGUCCACGAUUUCAGUUUUGAUUUCCCUUCACCAUGCAUGUACACAGUUGCUACCACCAUUAAUAAAAGGAAUUUGAUGCAUCUAUUGACAUCAAGUUCCUUUAAAUAAUACCCAGAAAACUGAGAAAACUAUGCUUUUUGUGGCAAAAUGUGAGGGCAGGGGAUCAGGGAGAUGGGUGAGAUGUAAAGAGGAAAAUAAUUCUAUAAAUAAAUUUUAGAAAUUUACAGGACUCCUCCAAUAAAAACGGAGUGACUAUAUCUCAUUACUUGUUAUUUAACAGAAACAGUGUACUGUGGUCUGAACUGCAAUGCCCCCAGUUUACUGAAGUCCUAACCCCUAAGUACUUCAGCAGGUGACUACAUUUGGAGGCAGGGUCUUUAAAAAGGAAUUAGUGUUAAAUGGAGUUAUUAGCAUGGGCCUUAAUCCAGUGUGACUGGUGCCUUCGUGAGAAGAGAUCGGAAGGCAGUUAUGCAGAGAGAAGACUAAAGACAAAGCGGGGCAGGGCUGUAUGGAAGCCAGAAGUGAGGUCCUCAGAGAAGCAGUCCUGCUGGGACCUUGAUCUGAAUGUCUGUGAAGGAUCCGAUUUCUCCUUUGUAAGCCUUUGAUACUUUGUUACAUCUGCCCUAACACACUGAUCUAGACCAGAUUGUGUGUUUCCUCCUCCUCCUCCUCCUCCUCCUCCUCCUCCUCCUCCUCCUCCUCCUCCUCCUCUUCCUCCUCCUCCCUCUUCUCCCUCUUCUUUCCUCCUCCUCCUCCUUUUCUUUCUUCCUCUUCCUUCUUCAUCAUCAUAUAGGAAGAUAACACUCUCUAUGCCCAUGUAUCUGAGUAAGUCAAUGCAACUCCUUCUGACCAAAGCACAGAAACAAAAUAGAAGAGCUAAGCUUCGUUCUUGAGCUGAGACAUUUAAAGGCAGUUGUUAAUUUUCUACCAUGACUGACUUCUUCCCUGCCAUGGGACCGCUAAGACCACGUGAUCCAGGUAGUAGAGUUACAAGGUGGCAGAGCUCCCGCCAGCCUGGUUUUCUGAGAGACUGCCUGAAUCAAGCACUCUGUUAACCUACUUUGGACAUAAAAUGUGAGACGCAUUUAUUUAAUUUAAUCCACUGAAAUUGCAUGGUUGAGUUAUAACAACAGCACAGCCACUUCUGACAUACAAAUCUACCUCACAAAAGCCAGGGCACCAGAGUGCUAGGAGUUCAUGUCAUAUCAAGUGAGUCCAUGUUCAAUUAUUAUUUGAGCAAAAUAUUGCCACUGGCACACUAGUGAUGUUUAUAUCUUAGAGGUAACCAACAGCUAUCUCAUUGGACUUAGGGCCUGCUCAGUGAGAGGAAACUCACUCCUGGUACUGCAAACCUAGCCAAGAACACAUGGCAGGAGAAGUCAUAGAUCGCAGAGGACAUACUACUGCCAUUUUCCUAAACUGAUAUAGCCUCCAACAACUGUAUUCUAAAUACUCAUCCUUACAUCCAUAGGUAAGUGCAGUUCUCCUUACCAAAGAAGCUUCUUUUAGCAGCUACUGAGGCUGCUGAAGACACUCGCAACCGGUCAAAAGGCCCCAACUGGGACAUCUACACUGCAAUCCCUACAUCUCCGGCUCAGGGAACAUCCCAGAAGAACUGCAAGAGUUCAAGGCCCUGAGCACCCGAAUGAGUGCCCACCACUACAAGACGGUAUCUUCUAGAUGUGUCAGGGAAACUAUACCCGUGACUCUUAACAAUACGAGUGCUUGCACAAGACCAAACUAGUUGACAUGCCAACGUGGAUGAUGAAAUAUUUAACAAGGCCCUACCACUAGAUGAAGAGCUACAGGCAAUGAAUGACCAUCGAGAGAGGAAGAAUCAGUGUUCUUCGGGGACACACCCCUGACUGGUUUCCACUUUUCCGUGGUCAGCCCUAAAGAAAGUACAUACAGGCAACACGAAUUGGACUCAAUAUAAAUUGUGUGUGUGUGUGCGCGCGCGCGCGCGCGUGUGUGUGUGUGUGUGUGUGUGUGUGUGUGUGUGUGUGUGUGUGUAUGCACAUAUAUGAAGUAGACAAAGAAGUCAUAAAUUCAAGAAGGGUUAGUGGGAACAGAGGAGGAAUUGGAGAAGAGAAAAGUGAUAUAAAUGUAGUACUCAUGUAUGAACUUAUAAAAAAUAGACAAUGAAACUGUCACUUCUGUGUGUAAAAUAUAAUCAUAUACAGACUAUUUCAUUUGUUCAACCUCCAAUUGCAUAUAUUUGCAUAAUCUUAGAGACUUUGGCAACCAAUGAGCCCUACAACCCAUAGGUCAUAGAUAAUACACCUGAGAUCCCUUCAGAUCAAAUGAUUCACCAAAAUCCAAACCACAUCAGCUAAGAACUGAAGCCAAGGUGCCAAGUUUGUCAAGGCAAGUCAAUUAGUCUGUAGUAGGAAGUCUGUAUCUAAUAGUAACCGUGCUUUCUCACAUGUCAAUCCCACCACUAGGAACUGACUUACUAGAAAUAGCUGAAUAGAUACACACAUGAAAAGUCCACAAUGCUAAUAAUAUAUGUGUUUAAGUAAUCCAAGUGCCCAGUGCACUGGGAAUUGAUUUAAUAAAUGAUGGUUCACACCCAACUCAGAUCUAUAUAGUAAUAAAGGAUUCAGUCUUUUCACUGGCGUAAAAUGCUUAUGUCAUUUUGAUAAAAACAAGAAAAUCAAAGAUGAAGAUGUUUUAACUUAAGUGCACUGAGGCAUAUCAAUUGCCUCUACACUUUCUGGCUCCUUUUCUUUUUUAUUCCCUUUUUCAUUGUGCUCGGUUGGAUCUUUGUAACAGAACCCAGCUAGCUGGGCCAGUUCACCCACCCACUAGCUGAGGGAUAUCGGGGGAAAAAAAGCCAAAAAACUUUGGGUCUCUUACCAAGCUAAGUGCGUCCCCUGAGACCCUGCUGAAAGCGUCCAGGACAAUGCACAUAGUGCAGGUACAUAAUCAAUAUUCACAUCCCGUGAUGCUCUGACAACCUGGAGGAGCAAGAUUUCCUGUGGUUUGACUUGUAUUUACUUUGGCUCUUUUAUUUCUAUAAAAAUUCUCUAGUUAAAAAAACCUAUAAAUCAUUCUGUUUAUUUCUCAUCCUGAAAUAAAAUGAAAAAGGCUA